RNAcentral lists this long non-coding RNA (405 nucleotides) under Rattus norvegicus (Norway rat). Its description in RNAcentral is "long non-coding RNA NONRATT007413". The record is from RNAcentral. Lineage: Eukaryota; Metazoa; Chordata; Mammalia; Rodentia; Muridae.
CGAGCAGGGGUUGGGGUGGGGGGCCGUUCAAGAGAGGGCUUCUUCGUGUCACCAUGGCUGUCUUGGAACUCACUCUGCAGACCAGGCUGUCCUCGAACUCAGAGAUCUGCCUGCCUCCGCUUCCCGAGGGCUAGGAUUAAAAGCCCACAUGUCUAUUGCCUGGCAGGUUUACUUACCAAAGGUUCUUUUUUUUUUUUCCCCGGAGCUGGGGACCGAACCCAGGGCCUUGCGCUUCCUAGGCAAGCGCUCUACCACUGAGUGUGCAUGUGUGCCACGUCAUGUGCGUCUGAUGCCUGCAGAUCCAGGAGAGAAUGUCAGACGCCGGGAAUGGGAGUUACGGACGGCUUUGAGCCUCCGCGCGUGGCCUGGAAACCAUCUCUGCUCCUCUGUAGUCGGCACAAGAAC